ACGAACGCUGGCGGCGUGCCUAAUACAUGCAAGUCGAGCGGACUGAUUAAGAGCUUGCUCUUAUGACGUUAGCGGCGGACGGGUGAGUAACACGUGGGCAACCUGCCCUGUAGAUCGGGAUAACACCGAGAAAUCGGUGCUAAUACCGGGUAAUAUCUGAGAUCACAUGAUCUUAGGUUAAAAGAUGGCUCCGGCUAUCACUACAGGAUGGGCCCGCGGCGCAUUAGCUAGUUGGUAAGGUAAUGGCUUACCAAGGCGACGAUGCGUAGCCGACCUGAGAGGGUGAUCGGCCACACUGGGACUGAGACACGGCCCAGACUCCUACGGGAGGCAGCAGUAGGGGAUCUUCCGCAAUGGACGAAAGUCUGACGGAGCAACGCCGCGUGAGUGAUGAAGGGUUUCGGCUCGUAAAGCUCUGUUGUUAGGGAAGAAACAGUACCGAACGAACUAGGUCGGUACCUUGACGGUACCUAACCAGAAAGCCACGGCUAACUACGUG
This 499-nucleotide ribosomal RNA is filed under the name uncultured bacterium. Its description in RNAcentral is "partial 16S ribosomal RNA". It matches the Rfam family "Bacterial small subunit ribosomal RNA", at positions 29 to 507 of the family's 1533-position model. The record is from RNAcentral.